RNAcentral lists this ribosomal RNA (1143 nucleotides) under Escherichia coli. RNAcentral's name for it is "bacterial SSU rRNA". It matches the Rfam family "Bacterial small subunit ribosomal RNA", at positions 359 to 1468 of the family's 1533-position model. The record is from RNAcentral. Lineage: Bacteria; Pseudomonadati; Pseudomonadota; Gammaproteobacteria; Enterobacterales; Enterobacteriaceae.
AUUUUGCACACAAUUGGGCGACAACGCUGGAUGGCAGCCAUGCCGCGUUGUAUGAAGAGCUUCGAGUUGUAAGCUACUUUCAGCAGGGAGGAGGUAGUAACGUAUACAUCAGUCAUGACGUACCGGCAGAAGAAGCACGGCUACUCGGUGCCAGCAGCGCGGUUAAUACGGAGGGGUGCCAAGCGUUAAUCGGAAUUUACUUGGGCGUAAAGCCGCACGCCAGGCGGGUGGGUUAAGUCAGGAUGGUGAAAUCCCCGGGGCUCCAACCUUGGGAACUGCAAUCUGAAUACUGUGCAAGCCUGAAGUCUCGUAGGAGGGGGGGUAAGAAUUUCCAGGUGGUAGGCGGGUAAAAUGCCGUAGGAGAUCCUGGAGGAAUAUCCCGGUGGCGGAAGGGCGGCCCCCCUGGCAGAAGGACUGACGUUCAGGUGGGAAAGCGUGGGGAGCAACCAGGAUAAGAUACCUUGUUAUUCCACCCGGUAACGGAUGUCGACUUGGAGCUUGGUCCUUGGAGGCGUGGCUUCGGAACCUAACGCGUAAAUCCGCCGCCUUGGGGAGUACGCCCGCAAGUUUAAACUUCAAUUGAAUUGACGGGGGCCCGCCCAAGCGGUGGACCAUGUGGUUUAUUCGGAUGCAACCGGAAGACCCUUCCCUGCUCUUGACAUUCACGGAACUUUUCAGAGAUGAGAAGGUCCUUUCGGGAUCCGUGAGCCAGGUGCUCCAUGGCGUUGUUCAGCUCGUGUUGUGAAAUGUUGGGUUAAUUCCCGCAACGAGCCCAACCCUUUUCCUUUGUUGCCACCGGUCCGGCCGGGAACUCAAAGGAGACUGCCAGUGAUAAACUGGAGGAAGGUGGGGAUGACGUCAAGUCAUCAUGGCCCUUACGACCAGGGCUACACACGUGCUACAAUGGCGCAUACAAAGAGAAGCGACCUCGCGAGAGCAAGCGGACCUCAUAAAGUGCGUCGUAGUCCGGAUUGGAGUCUGCAACUCGACUCCAUGAAGUCGGAAUCGCUAGUAAUCGUAAAUCAGAAUGCCACGGUGAAUACGUUCCCGGGCCUUGUACACACCGCCCGUCACACCAUGGGAGUGGGUUGCACAAAGAAGUAGGUAGCUUAACCUUCGGGAGGGCGCUACCACGUUGAUAGG